GAUGAACGCUAGCUACAGGCUUAACACAUGCAAGUCGCGGGGCAGCAUGGGGGUUGCUUGCAAUCCCCGAUGGCGACCGGCGCACGGGUGAGUAACGCGUAUCCAACCUGCCCUUCACCACGGGAUAACCCGGCGAAAGUCGGACUAAUACCGUAUGUUGUCCAUUGACGGCAUCCGAUUUGGACGAACGGUUUGGGGGUGAAGGAGGGGGAUGCGUCCGAUUUGCUGGACGGGGGGGGGACGGCCCACCGUGGGGACGAUCGGUAGGGGUUCGGGGAGGAAGGUCCCACACAAUGGAACUGAGACACGGUCCAGACUCCUACGGGAGGCAGCAGUGAGGAAUAUUGGUCAAUGGGCGUAAGCCUGAACCAGCCAAGUAGCGUGCAGGAUGACGGCCCUAUGGGUUGUAAACUGCUUUUAUGCGGGGAUAAAGUGGCCCACGUGUGGGUUUUUGCAGGUACCGCAUGAAUAAGGACCGGCUAAUUCCGUG
RNAcentral lists this ribosomal RNA (490 nucleotides) under uncultured bacterium. RNAcentral describes it as "partial 16S ribosomal RNA". It matches the Rfam family "Bacterial small subunit ribosomal RNA", at positions 28 to 507 of the family's 1533-position model. The record is from RNAcentral.